This 1562-nucleotide long non-coding RNA is filed under the name Macaca mulatta (Rhesus monkey). Its description in RNAcentral is "lncRNA (ENSMMUG00000054301.1)". The record is from RNAcentral. Lineage: Eukaryota; Metazoa; Chordata; Mammalia; Primates; Cercopithecidae.
GGAAGCAGAAGUCUCUACCCAGAACCUGUAUUCUACAAUGAUCUCUAUGAUGCUGCAGGAAGCAUUCUAGACACACGUUCUCCUUCAUUCUAUGAUGUCAUCUGCUGUAGACUGUAGCUUCUUCACGGCAGGGGCUGCUCUUACGCACGUGGGAGGUGCUUACAUGCCCAAUGGCUGUCCUGGCCUGUGUUACCUGAGGCACCAAAAUAAAGAGACCAGAAGGCAAAGAAAGUAUCUCCAGUGGAAGAAGGCAUGUGACUAUGGCAGCCUCAGGGACCCCAACAGUUGCCCCAUGUUCCAAAGGAUCAAGAACACAGCUGUGAGGAAAAUCCACCUCUGCCAAGGCCAGAAGCAGAUCCCUUUCUCCUUCAGGAAUCUAGAUGCUGUCCCUGACUUCUCCUGCGGCAUCAUCUUUGUUCUCCUCCCAUUUAGUCAGUCAAGUCACAAAACAAACUUUUGGUUUUUUCCAAUUAACCAUUUCCUUCAGUGGCAACUCCACUCUUACAGGUGUUCAGGCCAAACACAUUGGAGUCAUUCUUGACUCUCUCAUACCCCACCUCACUGCCUGUUUCUGCCAUCCUGGUGCAGACUACCCUCAGCUCUUGCUUGGGACACCAUGGAAGCAUCCUGAUUGCUCCUCCUGCUUCCACCCUCACCCUGCUGCUGCCUAUUCCCAGUGCUUCCAGGGACAGAUACUGUCAAAACAUAAAUGAGAUAGCCAGGCACGGGGGUUCACACCUGUAAUCCCAGGGCUUUGGGACGGUGAGGAGGGAGGAUCUCUUGAGCCCAGCAGUUCAAGACUGCAGUGCCCCAUAAUCGUGCCUGUGAAUAGUUACUGUAUUCUAGACAGGGCAACAUAGCAAGACCCUGUCUCUACAAUUAAAAAAAAAUAUAUAUUAGCUGAUGUAUACUUGUGGGCUGAGGUGGGAAGAUCACUUGAACCCAGGAGUUCGAGGUUAUAGUGAGCUGUGAUUGCACCACUGCAUUCCAGUCUGGGCAACAGAGCAAGACUGUCUCUAAAUACACACACACACACACACACACACACAUGGCCUGGUGCAGUGGUUCAUGCCUGUAAUCCCAGCAUGAGCUCAGUAUAUAUUUAAAUACACACACACAUACACACACACACAUAUAUGGCCUGGUACAGUGGCUCCUGCCUGUAAUCCCAGCAUGAGCUCAGUAUAUAUUUAAACACAUGCGUGCACGCGCGCACACACACACACACACACACACACACAUAUAUAUAUAUAUAUAUAGAGAGAGAGCCUGGUAAAGUAAGUAGUUCAUGCCUGUAAUCCCAGCACUUUGGGAGACCAAGGUGGGAAGAUCACUUGAGACCAGGAAUUCAAGACCAGUCUGGGCAACAUAGUGGGACCUCAUUUCUACAAAAAGUAAAAUAAAAAUUAGCUGAGUGUGGUGGCACACACCUGUAGUCUCAGCUGUUCCUGGGGGAUGAGGCAGGAGAAUUGCUUGAAACUGGGAGAUUGAGGCUACUGUGAGCCUCGAUUGCAUCACCACACUUCUGCCUGGGCAACAGAGUGAGACUCUGUCUCAAAUAA